This 384-nucleotide long non-coding RNA is filed under the name Ananas comosus (pineapple). Its description in RNAcentral is "long non-coding RNA (ACOM_LNC020667)". The record is from RNAcentral. Lineage: Eukaryota; Viridiplantae; Streptophyta; Magnoliopsida; Poales; Bromeliaceae.
AAUUAAGAUUUAAAUAUAGCAUCACCGAUUUUGAUCGUAGUUAUCUGAGGUUCCAAGUUUGAAGUUUAGUUUCUUCAUAUUUUUAGCCGAAUUCACUUAAAAUGUAUAGACAUAAUGCUUAUGGGUCUCGAUUGUGACUCGGCCUAACCAGCAGUCUCAUGCAGCUUCGAACAUGAUUUAACUCAACCCAACCUAUCGUCAUUUUGAAUGUAAUUCAGCACAACUUGACCUCUCACUAUAGGGCAGGAUGCUGGCUCUUUUAUGCCUAAAGAAAAAUAGUGUAAGGAAAAUAUACGAGUCGGUUGUAAGUAAAAUUAUUUAAGCGCAUGUGAACAAAAAAUUAAGAAAAAAAAUUAUUAUAAUAAUGUAAAUACAUUUUUUAAA